RNAcentral lists this ribosomal RNA (496 nucleotides) under uncultured bacterium. RNAcentral describes it as "partial 16S ribosomal RNA". It matches the Rfam family "Bacterial small subunit ribosomal RNA", at positions 28 to 506 of the family's 1533-position model. The record is from RNAcentral.
GAUGAACGCUGGCGGCGUGCCUAAUACAUGCAAGUCGAGCGAACAGACGAGGAGCUUGCUCCUCUUACGUUAGCGGCGGACGGGUGAGUAACACGUGGAUAACCUACCUAUAAGACUGGGAUAACUUCGGGAAACCGGAGCUAAUACCGGAUAAUAUAUUGAACCGCAUGGUUCAUUAUUGAAAGACGGUUUUGCUGUCACUUAUAGAUGGAUCCGCUCCGCAUUAGCUAGUUGGUAAGGUAACGGCUUACCAAGGCGACGAUGCUUAGCCGACCUGAGAGGGUGAUCGGACACACUGGAACUGAGACACGGUCCAGACUCAUACGGGAGGCAGCAGUAGGGAAUCUUCCGCAAUGGGCGAAAGCCUGACGGAGCAACGCCGCGUGAGUGAUGAAGGUCUGCGGAUCGUAAAACUCUGUUAUUAGGGAAGAACAAAUGUGUAAGUAACUAUGCACGUCUUGACGGUACCUACUCAGAAAGCAACGGCUACCUACGU